CCUACGGGAGGCAGCAGUAGGGAAUCUUCCGCAAUGGACGAAAGUCUGACGGAGCAACGCCGCGUGAACGAUGAAGGCCUUCGGGUCGUAAAGUUCUGUUGUUAGGGAAGAACAAGUGCUAGUUAAAUAAGCUGGCACCUUGACGGUACCUAACCAGAAAGCCACGGCUAACUACGUGCCAGCAGCCGCGGUAAUACGUAGGUGGCAAGCGUUGUCCGGAAUUAUUGGGCGUAAAGCGCGCGCAGGCGGUUUCUUAAGUCUGAUGUGAAAGCCCCCGGCUCAACCGGGGAGGGUCAUUGGAAACUGGGAAACUUGAGUGCAGAAGAGGAAAGUGGAAUUCCAAGUGUAGCGGUGAAAUGCGUAGAGAUUUGGAGGAACACCAGUGGCGAAGGCGACUUUCUGGUCUGUAACUGACGCUGAGGCGCGAAAGCGUGGGGAGCAAACAGGAUUAGAUACCCUGGUAGUCCACGCUGUAAACGAUGAGUGCUAAGUGUUAGAGGGUUUUCGCCCUUUAGUGCUGAAGUUAACGCAUUAAGCACUCCGCCUGGGGAUACGGUCGCAAGACUGAAACUCAAAUGAAUUGACGG
Molecule: ribosomal RNA, 587 nt
Filed under: uncultured bacterium
Lineage: Bacteria
Description: bacterial SSU rRNA
Rfam family: Bacterial small subunit ribosomal RNA
Source: RNAcentral